Molecule: RNA transcript, 8006 nt
Organism: Quercus robur (English oak)
Lineage: Eukaryota; Viridiplantae; Streptophyta; Magnoliopsida; Fagales; Fagaceae
Gene name: disease resistance protein RUN1-like
Exons: 11
Source: RefSeq, a predicted model, not a curated record
UGGCAUGUAUUGUGGAAAAUUCAUUGCGCGUUGGAGACAACUAUAUACGCGCGUUCCACUACCACUUAAACAUAUAGGAUGGUAUCAUGGUAGUACUCACACAGACACAAACUUUUUUUUUAGGUGGGCCACAGAUCAAAUCUGUCGCCUCUCACCCCUCUCUCAGCCAUAUUGCCACCGCUGCUGCUGCUCUGCUUCUUCUUCACAGCCACCGACCGCUGCCGCUGUUCUGCUUCUUCUUCACCGCCCAGCUGUCGCUACUGGUUCUUCUUCUUCACUGCUACGACUUCUUCUUCUUCUUCUUCGCCGCCGCCGCUGCUGGUUCACAAUGACCGUAAUUGACAUAAUCCUGUACUACGGUGGUCUGCUUAGCAAUGCCAAUGCGAACGAGGGAUUGCCAUUUGAAGGACCGGGUAUAAAGUGCUAUUAUACUCAAAUUGAUCAUAGGUUGAAGACUCUUAAUGAUUUAAAGAUGAUAGUUAUGGAAGAAUUGCGUGAGAACCCUGCUUUGCAUAACAUACAAAUUAUUUUUCGUUCUCCACAUGAAGUCUUCAAGGAUCGGAUCAAUUACAAGUAUAUGGAGAUAGAAGCAGACAAACAUGUGAAGAUCAUGUUUGACAAGAUGGAGAGGAUAGCCCAAGUAAGUGCUAUUGAGUUGUACAUAAAGUUAGAGCUGCGUGCAGAAGUUGGCACCGAGGAAAUCCAACAAACAACCACAAGUUUACAAGUCAGAGUUCCAGAUGCUCAGUAUGACUGUGGUGAAACUGAUGCAGACAAUGCUAUUAAUGUCCAGGACAUUAUGAACACAAUCCCUGUCUACACACUUCCUGCCUUGCCAUUCUCUGUAAAUACUAGGGCAAAUAUGGAACGAAGAACAAUUGUACAGAUCCCAUCAAUGGCUUCCCUGAACAAUGAAGGAGCCAGCUUUUCUUCUUCCACUCGCCGACGGGAGUAUGCUGUCUUCUUGAGCUUUAGAGGUGAAGAUACCCGCGAAGGUUUUAUCAGCCACUUAUAUAAGGCUUUGUGCAACAAAGGCAUUAACACCUUCAUCGACGAUAUUGAUCUUCCGAGGGGAGAAGAAAUUUCGGAAAAACUUAUCCAAGCCAUCAAAAAUUCAUCGAUUUUGGUUAUUGUCUUCUCUGAAAACUACGCAGAGUCCAAAUGGUGCUUGGAUGAAUUUGUUGAGAUUGUUAAGUGUAGAGAAAAGGACCAGGAGGUUCAAAUUCGUCCAAUUUUUUACAAUGUUGAUCCAUCAGAAAUUCGAAAUCAAAAUGGAAACUUUGGUAAUGCACUGACUAAUCAUGAAAAGAAGUUCAAGAAUAACAAGGACAAGGACAAGGUGCAGAGGUGGAGGGAUGCUCUUAAAAAAGCAGCUAAUGCAUCUGGAUGGCAUUAUAAGAAAGGCGCUACAUUUAAAUCUGAAUCUCACUUCAUCCAAAACGUUGUUGAAGAGAUAUCAAAUGCUAAAUUAAAUUGGAUGCCGUUAUAUGUUGCUGAAUACCCAGUUGGAAUAAAUUCUCGUGCAAAGGCCAUAGAGUCACUUUUAGAUAUUGGGUUAGAUGAAUUUUGUGUGGUAGGGAUGUAUGGCCUUCCCGGAGUAGGAAAGACUACAAUCGCAAAAGCUGUUUAUAAUAAAAUUGCUAAACAUUUUGAUGGAAGCAGCUUUUUAGAGAAUGUUAGAGAAAAUUUAGGGACAAAUACUGGCAUAAUCAAACUACAAAAGCAACUUCUUAAUGACAUCUUAAGGGAUCGAAAAUGGAAAGUGGGCAACAGUUCUAAAGUAAUCACUUUGAUAGAGGAGACACUUUGUUGUAAAAAGGUUUUUUUAAUUCUUGAUGAUGUCGAUGAUUUGACACCAAUAGAAAAUUUGCUUGGAAAAUGGGAUUGGUUUGCUCCCGGAAGUAGAGUCAUUAUAACAUUAAGAGAUAGACACUUGUUAACUGCCCUUAAACAAAAAGUUUGUACAACUUACAAGGUCAAGGAAUUCAAGGUCAAGCAAUUAGACAAACAUGAUGCUCUUCAACUCUUUAAUGAGCAUGCCUUUCUUGGAAACAAACCUCAUGAUGAAGAUUAUUCUAAACUUGCAACUAAAUUCAUAGAUUUUUCCAAUGGCCUUCCACUAGCUCUAAAAAUAAUAGCUCGUGAUUUGUGUGGAAGAGCUAAAAAAGAAUGGGAAAGUGCAUUAGAUUUGUAUAAUAAAAUUCCCAACAAAGACAUUCAAAACAUACUUAGAGUAAGUUAUGAUGGAUUGGAAGACACCGAGAAAGAUAUUUUUCUCGAUAUUGCAUGUUUCUUCAAAGGAUGGGACAAAGAUUAUGUUGUAAAGAUAUUAAAUGCUUGUAAAUUACAUCCAGGUUCUGGUAUUCCAAGACUUGUUAAUAAGUGUCUCAUAGCUGUUGAUAUAUUGGUAGAUUGUCAAUGCAUAACUUGAUACAACAAAUGGGUAGAGAAGUUGUUCGAGAACAAGUACCAAACAUCCUUAGAAAACGUAGUAGGUUAUAUUGUUACGAGGAUUCACUUGAAGUACUAAAAGGAAAUAAGGGAUCAGAAAAAAUUCGAGGCAUAAUGUUGCAUUCGCCCCAACCAGUAAAAGUGCAACUACACACGGAAGUUUUUAGAAAGAUGGAAAAUCUCAAAUUUCUAAUAGUUGAGAAUGUUCAAAUUUGUGAACCACUUGAAUUUCUUCCCAAUAGUCUAAUAUUUCUUAAGUGGCCCAAUUAUCCUUUUCACUGGCCAUCUGAGUAUUUUCCUGAACAACUUGUUGCUAUUGAGAUGCCACAUAGUCACAUUAGAUUGCCAAAGCUAAUCACGCAGGAGCAUCGGUUAGAAAAUUUGAAAGAUGUCAAUCUUAGUGGUUGUGAAUUUAUUACGGAAUUACCUAAAUUAUGGGCCCCAAAUUUAGAGCGUUUGGAGCUCGUUGGUUGUGAAAAUUUAGUUAAAUUAACUGAAUUAGGGGCCCCAAAUUUAGAGUAUUUGGACCUCUCAUGUUGUGAAAAUUUAGUUGAGAUUGAUGAAUGCUUUGGAUCUCUUGAAAAGCUUACAACAUGGGAUCUCAAUGGUUGUAGAAAACUUCAAAUUCUUCCAAGCCAGCUCAGGUUGAAAUCUCUUUAUUAUUUUUAUCUUUCUGGCUGCUCAAGGCUUGAGAAGCUCCCUAAUUUUCAUCCAGAAAUGGAAUGUUUAAAGACUUUAAAAUUAAAAGGGAGUGGUGUUAGAGAGGUGCCUUCAUCAAUCGAGCAUCUCACUAUGCUUGAGGAAUUAAUCCUUUUAGAGUGCAAAAACCUUGGAGAUCUUCCAGAUAGCAUUUAUAAAUUGCAACAACUUAAGGAAUUGACGACUCCUACUGCCAAAUUGAGACCGACGUGCAAUUUUUUUGACGGCUCUUCCGGAUAUGGGUUUGUGAACAUGACACAAUUGAAUCUCCAUGGAUGUGAAGGCAUAAUUGAAUUAGAUCUUUUGAUGAAGCCUGAUUACUUCCCCGCAUUGGAACUGAUAAAUCUAUCUGAAACCAAUAUUGUUACCAUCCCUGAAAGCAUUAGCAGAUUUCCCAGAUUAAUACAUCUUUAUGCUAGGAAUUGCAAGCUUCUUCGUGAAAUUCAAGGACUUCCACAACGAAUAAGUUGGGUUGAAGUGAAUAAUUCCAUGUUGUUGAAUACCUCACCAAGCGGGCUAUUUAAUCAGGUAAUACGAAUUCUUGGGAUUUUACCAAAUAGAGUAUGUGGUAGGGCAAGAAGCAACAAAUUAAUGGAUCUGCAGUUCUCCAAUAAUUUACCAUCUGAAACUUGGGCUAAUGAAUGGGUUCAAUUGUGGGGAGAGAGCUUUUAUGGUGCUAUUUUUCUUUUGGGAACUGAGAUGCUGAUAUGGUUGAUAACUCCAUAUUUUUCUUUGUUGGUCGCAGUUUUCCAAAAUUGGUUGUCUGUAUUGUUCCUGGACCAAAGCGCUUUCAUGGCUUUGUUGAAAUUUCCAUCAAUGGUUAUGAAAAUCGUGAAUAUCAGUCUAUUGAUCUAAGGGGAGAUUCAGAAUAUCAUUGUAAUCAAUAUUUAUUUUCUCUAACUCAAUGGUCUCUGCUGCAGAGACAUUUGAAUGAAUCAAAUCCAACUGACCAGAAUCUUGUUAAGGUUUCAAUUAGAUAUGAGUCAGAUGACACCUGUUAUUCUAUAAAAAUGUGGGGGGUCGACGUAGAAUGCACCUGUCCUCCUCAAGAAGAUGAUGCUGUUGAUUAUGGGUAUUCUAUAAAAGGUUGAUGAACUCUGAAGAAAUAUGCCUCAAUCAAAAAAUCACAUUGAAACAGUUUCUCCUCGGUCGUUUCUGACCAGUUUCUUUUCACAUUUGAUGCCAAGUUGACUAGGAUGGUUGCGGUUGAAGUCACUGGCAGGCCCCAGAUUUCCUUUUGCCUUGGAUGCGAGCUCUGUCUGAAGGUUAUGAGCUAUAAGCAUCUCAAACUUCAUGGCAUACUGUGAACUGAAGACAAGGGCAGUCUAGCAAAUUUUGUGUGGAACCUUUAAAAAAAAUCCUUUGAUCAGCCCUCUACACUGAGGUAAACUUGAAGCUCCUCCUCUGCACAUUGAUGAAGUCACUUAGACCCAGACUCGGCUUAACCCUGCAUUACAAAUACAAGAUGAGACACAUUGUUUCCUUCAAGUUGGAGGAAAUGACAAACCUUUCAAGUACUCAAAGAAUUGCCUCUUGGCAUGCUUGUCCUCAGGUAAAUAAUAUCCAUAGACAUUUGUCCAUUUAAGAACUUGCCUCAAUUCAACUUUCUGCAUAAACAGCAUAUUUGAUGAGAACAAGGAGGGUUUGUGCUUUACUUGGAAUAGAUUCAGGUAUCGGGGGUGCUACAAGAGAUUCAAACUUCAGUUCUAUUUAGUUAAGCGUAUUGGAUGAGAAUGAACUCAGUAAUUGUAUCAAUAGAGGCCUUGAGCAUCUCUUUCACACUCACACUCUCACUAUCUCUCUCUCUCACUCUCUCAUGAAGCUCCAUAUUUUCUAUUUUACAGGGCUACUUUAGUCAACGCUAUAUUUAUAAUGAUUGUUUUCCUAAAUGUGAAAUUCUGGAGAGGUUUUGCCAUCAAAGUGGUUCUUUAUUGAGAAUCCAGCUCAUUCCAAAUCUUUAUACUAAUUCUGACUGGAUAGGAAUUGUUCUAUUUGCUACAUUCACAGUGCACAAGCAUCCAACUCUCAUUCUUGACAAUUCGGCUACAGAAAUUUCUCAUGGCUUUUCUUGUUCUUUGAGAAGUGACAUGGGCAGCCGGACGGUGUCAAAUAAACAAUACAUCACUGAGUCUGAACACAACAAAUUUAUUUGGUUAAAGCAAUGUAAAUUCAUUUGGAUCAUGCAUGUACCUCAUGCUCGAUUUUCAGAGAAGUUGAAUUGUAGCAAUCUCUUAACUGCUUUAUUUUGUAGUGAUAGCCAAGACUUGAUGGUGCAGAACUGUGGUUACAGUCUUGUGUACCAGCAAAAUGUGGCAGAGUUGGUGCAAACAUUAGUCCAAUGCUCAACCAUGUUUUUUGAUAAUUCCAAUCUCAUCCAUCAAUUUACUGCUCAUCAAUCUAGAACAAAGCAGCAGAGCCAAGAUGAUGAUAAUGUUGAGGGGGAAACCAGUGGAACUGGUGGAUCUAGUGGGACAUUGAGAGGGCUUCAGGAAAAAAUAAAGCAGCAGAGCCAUGAUGAUGAUGAUGAUGAAGAUGAGGGAGAAACCAGUGGAACUGGCGGAUCUAAUGGGACAUUGAGAGUGCCACAUUAUCAGGAAAAAUUUUGUGCAACUUGCUAUCAAAAAUUCAUUGAUGCCGGGGGGCCAACCCAUUAUUGUCAUCGUUGAGAACGCUCUAAGGAAUUUCAUUUACACUAUCCAUGUGAUCGUUGCUUCCCUCCAACUAAGAUUCCAGAGUUAUUCAGCCAUUACACUUUUGGAUCCUCAAUGACAAUCCAGUUACCUUCAAAUUUGCAUAAUGAUUCUAAUGGCUGGGAUUUGCUAUAUGUGUUGCAUUUUCAAUCCAAGAGUAUCCAACUGAGUUUCUUGACAAUCUGGAAACUGAAAUUCCCCACGACCUUAGUUGUCUGUUUGAUAUGGAUAUAGUUGGUUUGAAACCUCUCCAUGUAUAUAGCACCUUUAAAGAAGAACUCAAGUGGUUACAUCUACAUGGAUUCAUUUGGCUAUCCUAUAUACCAUAUUGGUGGCUUUCAGAUAAGAUAAAUCAAUGCAACCACAUAGAGGUCUCAAUUGCAAGCGACUGGCCAGGCUGGAUUGUACGGAAGUGUGGACUUCGUCUUGUGUACCUACAAGAUGAACAAGAGUUUUGGCAAAUUUGAUUCCACUUGAGGGCUUCACUUUAUGACAAUUGGGACAUCAUUCAUGAAGAUUUAGUGUAACACCGACCAUUAAAAUCAUCCUCAAAAGCAUCCUCAAAUCAAACAUUCUCUAUGAAUAAAUGUUUUCCUCAAAGUGAAAUUCCGGAAUGGUUUAGGCAUCAAAGUACAGGCCCUUCUCUGUCUAUCCAGCUACCUUCAAAUUUCAGUAAUGCUAGUACUUGGAUGGGACUAGUUUUAUGUGCUUCAUUUUCAGUCCAUGAGCAUCCAACUAUCACAAGUGAUAAUCUGGAUUCAGACAUAUCCCACACCUUAUUUGUCAUUUGGAUGCUGAGAAAGGUAGCCUAGAAUCUCCCCUUCUCUAUCAAAUCACUGAAGAGAACUUCAUGUGGUUAAAUAUACAGGGAUUCAUUUGGCUAUGCUACAUACCUCGUGGGUCAUUGUCAGAUUUUUUUAAUCAGAGCAGUCAGAUUGAGGUUUCAAUUGGAAGCUACUUCCCAGGUUUGAUGGUGAAUGUGUGGGCAACGUUUCUUAUACCAUCAAGAUGUGGAAGAGUUUGAGCAAACAAUCAUUAAGUGCUCUACUGUGCCUUUUACAAUAUGGAACUCAUCCAUCAAUCAUUAGCUAGUGAUUCUCCGAAUGAUAAGCCAAAGAAUGAAGCUGGUUGUUCUUAUGGGGAUCCAAACCUUGGAAGGUUGAGAAGACCCAUUUACCAGGAGCAAAGCAGUACAGAUAGCAUCUAUCUUGAAGAUCAACAUCCUGAUAAUCAGCUCAGCAAAAGUGAUUUACAGGAAUUUGAUCAAAGUUUGGUGUAUAAUUCUUGUUUUCCUCCAAGUGAAAUUCUUGAGUGGUUCAACCAUCGUAGUGGCAAGCCACCAGUGACAAUCCAUCUACCUCUAAAUUUAUAUGAUGAUAGUACUUGGAGGGGACUCGCUCUAUGUGUUUCUUUCUCAGUCAACAUCAAGGAUCCUACUGCCAUCCUAGACAUUCUUAAUUCAGAAAGUGCUCAUCAUCUUUUUUGUCAUUUGGAAAGCAAUGUUGGUUCGUUGGAACCUCUCCAUGCCUAUUGCCUUACUAAAGAUGUCAUGUUGUUACAUCUAGGUGGAUUCAUGUGGCUGUCCUAUAUACCACAUAGCUCAUUUCUAGAUUGUUUGAAUCAAUGUAAUCACAUUGAGGCUUCAAUUUGGCGAUUGCCCAGACUUGACAGUGGUGAAGUGUGGACUCCGUCUUGUACAUCAGCAUGAUGAGGAAGAGUUUAAGCAAACUACAAGGCAUGGCUUGGCCUCAUUGUUUGACAAUUAGGGUCUCAUCCUUCAUUUGAUGGCUCGCAGUAGAAAAAGAAAUAAGCAAAACCUCUUCAUGCUUAAAGAGAAAGGCAAGCAUGUGCUAGAAUAGCAUCUCCUCUUAUUGUUCUGUUGCUUUUCUUAGCGGUUCUCCCUUCUGUUCUCAAUUACAAGUCUAACUAGACACUCAUAAUCUCUGCUGCAUAGUUAACUCAAUAUUGGUCUCGAGUUUCUUGUUCCUUGGACUAAUGUGAGCACUAUCUUUAGUUUUUGCAUUAAUAGGAGGCAACAAAGGCAUUGCCACUAAUAGUGCGCUGUUAAAAAUAUGCUUUAAUUUUAUUGGAAGGAACGAUUAAAAUGAACUCUUUGUUUGCACAUUUUCUUCGUUUUAAGGGAAUAAAUGCAUGUUCAUGUAGUAA